RNAcentral lists this ribosomal RNA (114 nucleotides) under Duganella sp. OV458. RNAcentral describes it as "23S rRNA. Bacterial LSU". It matches the Rfam family "Bacterial large subunit ribosomal RNA", at positions 2809 to 2925 of the family's 2925-position model. Lineage: Bacteria; Pseudomonadati; Pseudomonadota; Betaproteobacteria; Burkholderiales; Oxalobacteraceae. The record is from RNAcentral.
GGAGCCUUGAGCUCCUUGAAGGGUCGUUCGAGACCAGGACGUUGAUAGGUCAGGUGUGGAAGUGCAGUAAUGCAUUAAGCUAACUGAUACUAAUUGCCCGUACGGCUUGUCCCU